UCUGGGUUCUACCCCAGCCACCUAGAAUUAAUGUCCUGGUAGGUGGUGGAAUGACUCAGCGGAAAGAAAAUGCAUAAUUGCAGUCAGCAAGUUUACUUCCUUCUGGGGAACAAAUGAUUAAGUCAGAGCCAUGUGGCCCAUAAAAUGAAAUGAUGACAUGCAAAUGGAAAGGAGCAUUAGGAACAAAUACAGCUUGAACUGCUCUACAAGACCAUCCAACAUAGUGAUCAGGAUCCACUGCAAAGGUUCACUUGGACUAGCAGAGAAAUGCAUUCAGACCACUCUAAUGUACCCUAGUGGGCCAGAUUGGCCCACAGUGGGCCAGCAUCAGAGGAGUACCAAGUGUGCAUUUUUCAAGGCCGAGAUGUUGGGCUGCUUUUCAACUGCACCAUAUAAAAUAACAAACACGCAGUCUAAGGAAAACAAUUUUUAAGACACCGUGGAACCCACUUUAAUGAAGAAAACUGUUAAAGGCAUAAAAACCCCAUGUGCCAAUGGCUAAACGUGCUGGAAGUGUGAACUGUUAAACCACCAAAAUUGUUAACACAUCAUACUGCUGGGCAAAAAACUAAAAAGGGAGCGAAACAGUUUUCUAACAUGCGACCAACGUUGCCUUUAUUGUUCACAUUCCUGCUGACAUAAAGUUUCCUGAUUUGUCCCUUGAGUCCAGAAAUACAGCGAAAGCGGGAAUGUUAAUUGUAUCUGCCCUGAUAAACUGCCCUCCCUGCUCAUAGCAGCCAAGAAUAGCUCCAAGGACUGGGUAGAGGGGUUGCCCUUUUAGAUUCAAUGGAA
Molecule: long non-coding RNA, 792 nt
Organism: Dermochelys coriacea (leatherback sea turtle)
Lineage: Eukaryota; Metazoa; Chordata; Testudines; Dermochelyidae
Exons: 3
Source: RefSeq, a predicted model, not a curated record